This 253-nucleotide ribosomal RNA is filed under the name uncultured bacterium. RNAcentral describes it as "partial 16S ribosomal RNA". It matches the Rfam family "Bacterial small subunit ribosomal RNA", at positions 524 to 776 of the family's 1533-position model. The record is from RNAcentral.
UACGAAGGGGGCUAGCGUUGUUCGGAAUUACUGGGCGUAAAGCGCGUGUAGGCGGGUCUUUAAGUCAGGGGUGAAAUGCCAAGGCUCAACCUUGGAACUGCCUUUGAUACUGGAGACCUUGAGUCCGGGAGAGGUGAGUGGAAUUGCGAGUGUAGAGGUGAAAUUCGUAGAUAUUCGCAAGAACACCAGUGGCGAAGGCAGCCCCCUGGGCCAAUACUGACGCUCAUGCACGAAAGCGUGGGGAGCAAACAGG